Molecule: long non-coding RNA, 337 nt
Filed under: Homo sapiens (human)
Lineage: Eukaryota; Metazoa; Chordata; Mammalia; Primates; Hominidae
Description: HSALNT0050914
Source: RNAcentral
AGCUUUCUAUAGGUCCUGCCAGCUCUGGCAUUUGGCAGUAGGAUGUGUUAGCCCACAUCUCUAGUGACCUUGGGCAAGUCCCUGCUCAUCUUGGAGGUUCUGAUCCUCACUGCACCUGACUUGGGAGCAGCAUCCACAGGACUCUUUGUGAAGGACAGAGCCAGCUGCUUCCACCUCCCUCUGCUCCACCUCUGCAUGAAUGCAGUAAAAAUAACCAGCAUAAGAUGUCUCAUAAGCUGUUCCCACUCAUAGUUUCCAUUCAAACGGGCGCAAACCGUGCCCAAGGCAAGUGUCAGAUGCCCAGUGCAGCGAAGUCUAAUUAUUAAAGCUCCAUCCC